GUUAAAUAGUUUAUAAAAAAUAUUCGUUUUGUAAAUGGAUGAAAGGAAAUAUCCUUUAACU
This 61-nucleotide transfer RNA is filed under the name Anaticola crassicornis (slender duck louse). RNAcentral's name for it is "tRNA-Thr". Lineage: Eukaryota; Metazoa; Arthropoda; Insecta; Psocodea; Philopteridae. The record is from RNAcentral.